UCGUCGGUUGCGUCGAUUUUUAAAUUUUCUGACGAAAAAGUGCAUUUAGUGUACACAAUUUAUGCGUAAUCUGUUACUAGUGCCCUGCUUAGCCUCCUGAAAAAGCGCGUUAUAUUAAUACUACACCACACACUCCUUCCCCACUCACACGAGCAUUGCUAGCUCUCUGUGUUGGUUAAUAAAAUUUCCUAAUUCAACAUUAGUGAAUUUCGUUAGCUGAUGCAGUUGGUUAACAGUGUUUUUGUCGGUGUGGAUUCCCGGGCUUAAGAUGACUCCAGAGCGCGGCGCGGCCUUCCCCAAGAGAGGAGACUUUUUGGGUCAUCCCCUAACUCUGAUGUUCGGGCAUCGAUGACCUGUGUAGCAUGCAGAGGUACCCAAGGGAGUCACCACCCUCUGGUUUACGAGCUAGGUGUUCUAAU
Sitophilus oryzae (rice weevil) is the source of this 419-nucleotide long non-coding RNA. RefSeq lists it as uncharacterized. The record is from RefSeq and is a predicted model, not a curated record. The transcript is spliced from 2 exons. NCBI's taxonomy places the organism in Eukaryota, Metazoa, Arthropoda, Insecta, Coleoptera, Curculionidae.